GGGGGACCCAGGCUGGAGCAGUUUGCUCCUGACGGAUGGACUCCAUGGGAAGAAGAGCCCCCACAUGAUCAGCUCGGGAAGGCGGCAUCCCCUGGGAGGGACCCCACGUUGGAGGCGAUGAUGACGUGCUCUGCGCUGACCACGGCAGGUGAUGAAGUGUUCCGCGCUAAACACAGCCCCAAUUCCCCAUUCCCUUGCGCCACUCGGGUGAAGAAGUGGAAGUGGGUGCUGGGGAAGUGGGGAGGGUGUUUUCAGUUUGCUUUUACUUUCACAUUGCUCCCUUCUGUUGCAAUAAGUUACAAUGAUCUCCCUACGCCGAGUCUGUUUUGCCCAUAAUGAUGAUUGCUGAGUGAUGUCCCUGUUCUUAUCUCAACCCUUGAGCCCUUUUUCAUCGUAUUUUCUCCCUCUUCCCCUUUGAGGAGGAGUGAGAGAAGGGUGGUUGUGGCCUUUGGCUGCUUGUCGGUGUGAAACCACCGCAGAUGGUGCAGAAGACCUGUUCUCUUGACCUUACAGUAACAGCAAGAUUUUAUUGCUUAUGUCCUAGAGGUCUGACCUCAACUCGAGGACUGUGAGUGUUAGUCACAAGUAGCUCUGUCUUUGAGGAACUGGAAUUAACCUAUGUGGUUUCAAGCUUUAAAUGCAGAUUAAAAAAAAAAAAAAAAAAAAAAAAAAAAGUUGUGCAAGAGCUUGUUGUGCAGCUAGGGACUGGCACAGGAUGGGGUUGUGGGACUUUUGUGGGGAUUAGAGCUGAUUGCUUAUCUCUUGUCCACCCUGAGAAAAAAACAGAAGUCGCAGUGCAAGAAAACUUCUGGUUUUCAUUACCACUGUUCUUCUUCUGUGUUUUUUAUUUAAAGUGUCAGAUGGCUGGAGUUUGUGCUGAUGCAAGCAACACAACAGCCUGUUUUCUGCCAGUGAAUUAAUGAGUCAUACAGGGGAGAGAGCUCUAUUUCAAGGCAGCUCCUGCAAGCUGGGUUCACCCUUCCCUCAAAUGUCUGAUCCAGUAUGUGCGCACCAAGUGGUUCCACGGACAGGGAUUUCUGCUCUGAUCCCUGGUGAACAAGUCUAUCUUCCUUUAAACUGUAUGCCUAGCUUCCUUCCCAGGCCUUUCUGCACUCUCUGAAAACAUACACACACAAAAAAUGCCUGUCUCACUGUGCACACUCUCUCCUGAUUUGUCGUUUUCUGAUCCAAGGAGAACAAAAAGUGGAUGGGCUGUGGACAUUUGGACCUGUACCUGCAGCUUCAGCAUCAUAGAGCUAAAGGGUGGUGGACCACACACCAUAAUCAGUGGGCUCAGAGCAGUCUGGACCGUGAAGAGCAAAGCCAUCAGGAUUAAAGAUACUUUCCUCCAGGUCUCAGGCCUUCCAUUACCCUGAAUUUAAUGAAGCACAAUGACAGCAGCAUUCAUUGCUCUUGAAAAACCUUGUUCUGAGGUCACCAGGCUCAGUUCUCUUUACAGAUGCUUUUCAAGACCUAGAUAUGUGUCAUUGAAACCUAGGUGGUUAAAAGAGGAAGGAAGAACGGAACCCUAAAGCUCCUGUAAACAAGGCAGUGAUUGUUUCACUUCCACAGAGAAGAUCCUGUGACCACCGUUGC
Long non-coding RNA from Oxyura jamaicensis (ruddy duck), 1596 nucleotides. RefSeq lists it as uncharacterized. The record is from RefSeq and is a predicted model, not a curated record. Lineage: Eukaryota; Metazoa; Chordata; Aves; Anseriformes; Anatidae. The transcript has 3 exons.